AGAGUUUGAUCCUGGCUCAGAACGAACGCUGGCGGCGUGGAUAAGACAUGCAAGUCGAGCGAGAUUUUUUUCUGUAGCAAUACAGGGAAAAGUCUAGCGGCGAACGGGUGCGUAACACGUGGGCAACCUGCCAAGAAGUGGGGGAUAGCUCGCCGAAAGGCGAAUUAAUACCGCAUGUGAUCAGAGUGGACAUCCAUUCAAAAUCAAAGUCGGGGCAACCUGACGCUUCUUGAGGGGCCCGCGGCCUAUCAGCUAGUUGGUGAGGUAACGGCCCACCAAGGCUUAGACGGGUAGCUGGUCUGAGAGGACGACCAGCCACACUGGGACUGAGGCACGGCCCAGACACCUACGGGUGGCAGCAGUCGAGAAUUUUUCUCAAUGGGGGAAACCCUGAAGGAGCGACGCCGCGUGGAGGAUGAAGGUCUUCGGGUUGUAAACUCCUGUCAUUUGGGAACAAUGCGCAAAUAUUAACUGUAUUUGCGUUGAUAGUACCAGAAGAGGAAGGGACGGCUAACUCUGUGCCAGCAGCCGCGGUAAUACAGAGGUCCCAAGCGUUGUUCGGAUUCAUUGGGCGUAAAGGGUGCGUAGGCGGCGCGGUAAGUCGGGUGUGAAAUCUCGGGGCUUAACUCCGAAACUGCAUUCGAUACUGCCGUGCUUGAGGACUGGAGAGGAGACUGGAAUUUACGGUGUAGCGGUGAAAUGCGUAGAUAUCGUAAGGAAGACCAGUGGCGAAGGCGGGUCUCUGGACAGUUCCUGACGCUGAGGCACGAAGGCCAGGGGAGCAAACGGGAUUAGAUACCCCCGUAGUCC
Molecule: ribosomal RNA, 810 nt
Filed under: uncultured bacterium
Lineage: Bacteria
Description: bacterial SSU rRNA
Rfam family: Bacterial small subunit ribosomal RNA
Source: RNAcentral